Molecule: unclassified non-coding RNA, 499 nt
Filed under: Melitaea cinxia (Glanville fritillary)
Lineage: Eukaryota; Metazoa; Arthropoda; Insecta; Lepidoptera; Nymphalidae
Description: misc RNA ENSMCXG00005016263.1
Source: RNAcentral
CCUCGCGCCCCACUCGGCGAGCGCGCCGGCCCCGGGAGCCCCUGCUCGUGCCCCUGGCGCCCCCGCCCUAGCGCCGCGCCCCGCCCCACUGUCGGGAGGAAGUAGGUAGCUAACAGGGUGUACAUCAUUUACCGAGAUAGUGAAAUGAAUUACUUAAAAAACUGACGUGGCUUAUUCGAGAUAACCCACCUACAAUGAGAUUGUAUUAAAUAUUGUGUAAUAUAAUAUAAUUACAGUCAAAUCUUUACGCAUAUGUAUAUUGUACAUCUUAGUAUAAUAUAUAUAUACACGUCCUAAAAUGUUUUUACUUACAAAGUAUUAAGUGCAAAGUUUAUAAAACUUUUAACAGUUUAUUAUUUACAAAUCGAGUCAUCAGAGUCAGUAUAAACAUUAUAUGAAUGAAGUAUUUUAUUUUCUUUUGUAAAUUUGUCAUGUAACUUUGAUUAAAAAAAAAUCUUAUUUAUAUUUAUUUUAAAUCAUAUCUGAGCCAAUGAUGGCG